This 434-nucleotide ribosomal RNA is filed under the name uncultured bacterium. RNAcentral's name for it is "partial 16S ribosomal RNA". It matches the Rfam family "Bacterial small subunit ribosomal RNA", at positions 29 to 507 of the family's 1533-position model. The record is from RNAcentral.
AGCGAACGCUGGCAGCAGGCCUAACACAUGCAAGUCGAACGAACCUUUCGGGGUUAGUGGCGGACGGGUGAGUAACACGUGGGAACGUGCCUUUAGGUUCGGAAUAACUCAGGGAAACUUGUGCUAAUACCGAAUGUGCCCUUCGGGGGAAAGAUUAAUCGCCUUUAGAGCGGCCCGCGUCUGAUUAGCUAGUUGGUUGAGGUAAUGGCUCACCAAGGCGACGAUCAGUAGCUGGUCUGAGAGGAUGAUCAGCCACAUUGGGACUGAGACACGGCCCAAACUCCUACGGGAGGCAGCAGUGGGGAAUCUUGCGCAAUGGGCGAAAGCCUGACGCAGCCAUGCCGCGUGAAUGAUGAAGGUCUUAGGAUUGUAAAAUUCUUUCACCGGGGACGAUAAUGACGGUACCCGGAGAAGAAGCCCCGGCUAACUUCGUG